AUGCUGGUGCACAUGGGACAGGGCCCUCUGGCUCCCCGGACAGGGCCACGCUGGGCACGUGACCAUCUCCCUCUGCUUCUCCUUGGCCUGAUGGGAAGCGGGUCUGGGGUAAAGGGAAAAGCCUACCUGUCUGGAAAAGCACAUGGGAUUAUGGAUGUGCUCCCUGAUUUAGAAAGCAUCGAACUGCCGCAAGUGGGGCACAGAUGUGUCGACUGGAAAAGAAUCCCUGUCGUUGAAGGUGAACUCAUUCAGUUCUGUUGCGCACCUCCCACGAGCCAGCUCGCCAGGGAGGAGCGCGCUGAGCACUUGUACUUCUCCGCGGAGGUGCUCUCUCCUGAACCACCUCUUCCAGGAGAAGAACCUCAAGGGGAGGGAGAAGACAUGAACCCCAGCAGAAAAAUGUUGAACCAACCAUCCGGCUCUCGGAGACUGCAGUUCAGAUCUACCACUUUUUCCCCAGCAUAUUACCUAACCUCUUUGAGCUCCCCCACCCCCUUUUUUUUUUUUUUUAAUUUGCAGAUGGAACAAGACCCAACUGCCUCACUGGUUUAUUGUGGGGAGGAGAUGAAAUCAGGGAGGCGUCCCCUGGGCGGGGGCAUCCUUCGCCCCCAGGCGCGCGCGGAGCAGGGCCCUCCCGGCAACCAAGGCUGCGGGCUGCGCGCUCGGCUCACCCUGGCCGCGGGGCGGGGGCUGCGGGGCUCUGGGGGUCCAGGGGGGUCCAGGCCCGCCGUCCCUCCCGCGCUCCUCUGCCUGCGGCUCGGGGGCCUCGAGGGGAGCCCCCGCGGGGGGCGGGCGGACGUGCCGGGGUGUCCCCGCGGCUGGGCACCCACGCCAGCACCCGGGAGACCCGCCCCGCGCGCGGAGGCCGCCCCGGCACGCGCACCCCUCCCGGCGCCGCGGGUCCCCCGUCUCCUCGGGCCGCCCCGGGGGCGCGAAGGUCAAGGUCCCCAUCGCGGGUCUCCGCGCAGGGCCUGCGGGAGGGCGAGACGCGCAUCCCCGGAGUCCGCGGCCCCCGCGCGCCGCCCCGUCUGCGCACCUGCGCUCCUGCGCGCCCCGGGCCCCGGCGCCCGCUCCCCGACGGCGGCCCCCGGGAGUCCCGCGCUCGGUUACCUGGGCUCCGGGGGUCGCCCGCGGCCGGGACAGUCCUCCGGGGCCGCCGGGGCCCCCAGCCACGCGGGCGCUGCACCUGGCCCGGCCGGUCCGCGCGCCUCCCCGCGGGUCCCGCCCCCGGGGCCCUCCGGCGCAGGGCGGGGCGGGGCGCGCCGGGCCUGGGGGGCGGGGCCGAGGGCAGGGGGCACCCCCACACCCACACCCACACCCCACACCCCCGCGCCCGCCCGCGUGCCCCCGACGCCCGCCCCGCGCCCCGCCCGCCUCCCGAGGCGCCGCAGCAUCCGCGGCAGGUGCAGUCGCGAGGGGCGCACGGGCCCUCCGGCCCCUGGACCCCUGGGCGCGCCCCACGGCCCCCACCCCCGCUCCGGGCCGAGGGCGGGCAGCCUGCCCUUCCGAAGAAUGCGCGGGGUGGAGCCCAGGGAAGGGAAAGAAACAACAGGGUACCCGCAGCCCCACCCCGCCCCGCCUCCCGCGCCCGCCGGCUCUCUCCGGAAUGCCCCUGCCCUGCCCAGCUCUGCCAACCUCAGCCUUGCCCAGGGCUCCGCUUGCUUCCCGGCGCUGGAAGGCGCUGGGCCUGGCUGUCUGCCACUCAGUGGACACGGCGAAAGAGUUGAAGGGACACAGGGGACAAAAAAAAAAAAAAGCAACAGCCACGCAGCCUGUGUGGUGGCUACUCCCAGGUGCUGAAGGGACAGGUUGCAGCUACUUCCUGCCUGCCCACCCCCCCCCCCCCCCCACACACACACACGGGAAUUCUGGAAAAUGCACCCUUUGGAUAAAACUUCCAGACUGAAAUUGGGGUUGUCCUUCCUCCCCCUCGCCCAGGCUUCCUGAGUCCUCUCUGCUUCCCGCCUUGGGGGACACAGUGGAAGGGGCACGGGCCUGGGAGCCCAGAGGCCUCCACUUAGCUCUGUGACCUUGGACCGGUCUCUAUCCCUUUCUGAGCCUCAGUGUCCCCAUUUGCUGCAGUGGAUUAUCUCUAAGGCCCUUUUUAUGGAUCCCGAAGUGUGCUAUUGGCAUCUUGUGUAGGUUUUCCUGUAGCUUCGCCUCAUAAAGGAGUGAGUGUAUGUGCGCGGGUCUCUGUCUAGACUGUCCUUUCAGGUGUAAGUUCUCGAAGGGAAGGGACGAGGCCACGCAAUCAGGCAGCCAGCCUGUGCAAAGCGGAGCUUGACAAGACUGAUCAGCGUAGGGAGAGCGGAUCCCAGCCCCAGCUUUGGCUGAACGCGGAGUGGCCUCGGACAAGUCCCUCGUUAAUAACCCAAGGGUUUGGGGGACUAAAUGACAUAGGAGAUGUGAAGCCCUUUGAAGGGGAAGGCAAGGCAAGGGGCUGUGUGCUUUCUGAUGUCAUCUCUUGAUGCCUGUGACAGUGAUGGGCUCCAGAGGCAGAACAGGGUGUGAGGUGUUCUGUGUUCCCCACCCUGCAGAAGCUGCGCAUGCAGGGAACAGAGACAGCCUCUGCACCCCCCUCCCCCCGCCCCCCGCAGGCUCCUGCCUGCUGCAGGGCUCUCAGGGACUGAAGAGGGAAGAUUAAGAGUCUCCCAAAACCUGAAGGAGGGUGGUUUGUGGAUUGCUCCUUAAUUCAGCAGCAUGUCUUGGCCAAACACCUGGUUGGCAGGUGCCUGCAGCCCGACACGUCUGCUGCAGGGAGAGGAGAGCCUAGCCGAAUGGCAGAACAGGACCCCCUGGAGAAGGAUGUGGAGCGAAGAGGGCUGCUGUGGAGGCAUACAGGGAGGGCUUUCGACCACGUGGAGAAGAAUUUAGGGAGUAUUGGGCUCAACACCCCUCCAGAGGGGAGGAGUGAUGUGCCCAAGAUCACACGGUCAGCAAAGGUUGCGGAGCUAGGACUUGAACCAGAACGUCAGGACUCUGUACAGGGUUGGGGACCCAACCUGUGCGGCUCGAAAGAACUGGGAGCAUGGGAAGGACUGGGAAUGUUCCAGUGACUGAGAAGAAUAUUCUAGCCCAGGAGGAGGAGCUGAGCCAAGGUACAAAGAUGGGGAGAGAGAGGAGGGUGCCAGAGUCCCAGGGAGGUUGUGCAAAGCCAGGCUGGGAACUGCAGACCUUGGAGGAUUUUGAGGCUACACCAGUUGGGAGGUAGAGGCACAGGACAUUUCCUGGAGAGACACCGACCCCAAAUUACCCCAUGAGGCAGCAGAUGCCACGUCAGGAAGGCAGUGAGGUGACAUGGAAAGAGCACCAGUUUUUCUUACCUGUAGGGUGGGGGUGGGGGGGUCAGAAUCUUGUCCCCUGCAGGGUUAUUGUGGUGACCACAGAUUGCAUUUGGAAGUGCGCUGUGCGCUACAGAGUGCUGAGCGAAUUAAAGGUUUUGUUGUUUUCUCUUCAAGGACCUCAGUGAACAUUUGUGGAACUGACCCACGCUGGGCUGGGCGCUGCCUCUCUUCUUGGCAAGGAGAAGAUGGGCCACAAAACGGGGUGCGUCUGCAAGUGAUCAGAGGGACCGUGGGAGGGGAAAGACAAGGGCUUGUCAUUCAAGUGUCAGUUCUCCCUGGGACACUUUCACAACACGAUGCAAAUACCCUUUUGGGGAAGACGGUUCUUCUCCAUCCAUAUGCCUUGGAGUCUCUCACAGCUCCCCUUGCCCUCCCUGGCACCUGGGUGUGCAGGAUGCCCAGCGUCAGAAGUCCUUCUCCCAGCCAGGAGCCUACUCCGCAGGGGGCUGGCCAGCUCCUCCUGGAGGGGCCCAGAUCCUCUGUCCUCUUUGUCCCAAAGGCGUCAUCAGACAGCAGGAACCGUGCACCUGCCCUUCACAUCAGGACUCAGGCGCCUCGUGCAUUCUCCCUCCUCUCACAGCCGACCCUCACUCAGCUCCCAGGUUCUGUCCCUCCCCUCGGGUCCCCUGAGAUGGAAUCUUCAGGCCAGGCUUAUGGCUCCACUUUGCAGAUGAGAAAACUGAGGCCACAGUCAGGGAGAGGGGCCAGCACUGCCCAACAGCACCUCUGGUAAAGCUCUUUCCUUGCCUCGUCGGGACUGGAAGUAUUAGGCUCGUCCCAUGGGAGAAGAAGUGGUCCUCAGGGGCGCUGCGUGAUCGAGGAGGACUCCAAGAGCUCCCCUUUGGGCCACUGAGAUCUGCACCUUGGCCUCCUAAGGUGGUCUGAACAGAUCACCACAGAUGCAGUGGCCUAAAGUCGCAGAAAUGUACUCUCCUGCUAUCCUGGGGGCUACAAGUCUCAAAUCCAGGUGUCAGCAGGGCCACACACUCUUCGAAAUUUCCAUAGGACACUGAGUCUCUUCCAGUUUCUCGGGGCUCCAGGAGGUUCCGGGCUUGUGAUGGCACGACUCCAGUCACACAGCCUUCUCCCCUGUGUCUCUGUGUCCUCUCUUAUUUGUAUAAGGGCUCACCACUGCCUUCAGGGGGAGCUCAUCUCAAGAUCCUUAACUACAUCCGCAAAGACACUUUUCCCCAAAUAAAUUCAGUCACAGGGACUGGAAGUUAGGACACGGUGUUGUCUUUUUAGGGGACGCCGUUCAGCCCAAUACGAUGUCUUUCCUCCUACUGGGGACCUUGCACGGUCCCUCAAUUUCUCACCACCUCUCAGCUGCCUGGCAGAGGGACUCCUACGGCAUGUUGCCCCACUAGGUUGUUUAGGGAGGAGAUAGGAGGCUAUAGCCACGUGGGGACCUUGCUGUGGGGGUGAGUUGGGGGACUCACCUCCUUUGGAUUCCUGUCCCAGCACCUCCCAGUCUGCCUAUUGCUGUUUCAACAGCACCCUUUGUGCCUCUUUCUCUAACGCCUCUCCACUAUGGGGUACCUAUGGGAGAGAUGCCCUCUAGGAGGACGUGCUCACUGCGCCCUAUGCCCCAGCCUCUCUGCUAAUGCCCGGCCCGACAGCCACCAAGCUGUGAGGAGUGACAAAGCUUUGUAUUCCUUACAGAGAUCUCAGCCGCCCAGGCGACCCCUCCCCAGGUGUGGAUGCGGUCCUCAGAGCAGGAUCGAGGGAACUGGUGCGUGUGGAGGGGAAGAUGCUGAGAGGGGAGGAGGGUGACCGCCCCCUUCCCUCGCCCGGGCCAGGGCCAGGCCACAGGACCAUGCUUAGGGCCCGCACUCCUGCCUCCCCAGGGGAAGACCACAAGGGCUGUCAUCUCGGGUACCUGGAGGAAGCCCCAGGCUGCCCCGCCGGGUGGGGUUCUCAGGGCCAGGAUCCAUCAAGAACCAGAGAGUCGGGACCCCUGGGUGGCGCAGCGGUUUGGCGCCUGCCUUUGGCCCAGGGCGCGAUCCUGGAGACCCGGGAUCGAAUCCCACAUCGGGCUCCCGGUGCAUGGAGCCUGCUUCUCCCUCUGCCUAUGUCUCUGCCUCUCUCUCUCUCUCUCUCUGUGACUAUCAUAAAUGAAUAAAAAUUAAAAAAAAAAAAAAAAAAGAACCAGAGAGUCUGGAAGGGCCUUCUGGGUCAUUUGACCUAAGGAGUAAAGAUGCUCAGGGAGAAGCAGCAGAGACGCCGUGGGGGAGCCCCACAGACCACUGGUGUCUCACACACGAGCGUCCUAGGCCAGACCAGAUCUGUGCGGCCGCCGGGGGCCCGCAAUCCUCUAUACAAGGGGCUUGGGCCACCCCGGUUUGCAAGGGGAGGGCGACAGGACUGCAGCAGCAGAGAAGUGCACGGAUCUGUUAGGGUGGAGGGUGUCUUUGGGUGGCUGGGCGGGGGGCACACAUGGAGAUGAUAAAGGGGAUUAGCCCCUGCCCCCCAAACACCAUCAUAACCCACAGUAACCUCUGUCUUCUCCUCGUGGCCUCAGAGGGCCUCUGUCCCCGCAUCCAAAAAUGCCCUACCAAGAAAAUGUAAGAUCUAAUCCAGUGGUUCUCAGUCCUGCCAGACGUCAGCACGAGCCCCCAGUUGAAUCCAAAUCUCUGGAGGCGAGGCCUGGGGCUUCUUGAAGGUUCCCCAGGUGGUUCUGAGGAGCAGCCAGUGUGGAGAAAUGUUAGUCCACCCCCUGGGGCUGCCUGACACGCGGUGCGCCUACAGUGUGUCCUCAGCAACCUGCCCGCAGUGCCCUGGGUUGGGCCCAGUGCGUGGCAAAUACCCACCCAGAUAUGGGGGGGGCCUGCCCUGCCGGCUCCAGCGCGCAGCAUGCUGGUGUGCUUGCCCCAGCAGAGACUGAGCUGCACUUCCUACCUGAGUGGGGGGCCACCUGUGCACAUGGCCAGCGCUUCCCUGGGUUUCUCCUUCUGCUGUCCCCCUGAGCUCCAUGCACCAGGUGUGGACGCAGCACCUGCUGGAG
This 6348-nucleotide long non-coding RNA is filed under the name Canis lupus familiaris (dog). RNAcentral describes it as "lncRNA (ENSCAFG00030008988.1)". Lineage: Eukaryota; Metazoa; Chordata; Mammalia; Carnivora; Canidae. The record is from RNAcentral.